UGCUAUGCUAUUACAAGCAUUCAUCUCAAGGAUUAUUACAUCUUAUAAUAUUACAUAAGCCUUUAGAUUAUUACAACUUAUACAAUUUACUACAAGUUUGUUUCUUUCACUCUGAACUCUAUGCUAGAAUACUUCAGGGUAAUGCUAUCUCGAUCUCAGUGGUAGGGCGCUAUCUACGGAGCUACGCCCUUUCCUCGCGCGCCGCGCCGCUCACGUGUGUACCUGUAUCCCCAAAAACACGGGGGUGAGAACUAUAUAAAUAUAGUUCCCAGUGGGUACGGCCACCCAAGGGAAGAGCUCGACCCACCAGGUCCAAAGAAGGCACUGUAACAUGUUAGUCCAACAGAUAAUCACAAGUAAUUUAUGCAGAUAUUAAAACAUGUAUGCCUCACGAUAUGCAAUAUGCAUUUUCAUGCAACUCUAUGCAACUAUGCAACCAAUCAGUAGAUCUAUUGAUUCUACAUUCAAUUCUGCUAAUCCUAGCUCAUGUCAUUUAGCUCUAAGGUUUCUACUACCUUAGCUCCUGCUAUUUAUCGCUAACUUUUAAGGCUUCUACCGCCUUAACCAAGCUAACCGCCCGACUCGGCCUCAAGUCAAUCAUUCGCGGACUACCGCGCACUGGCACCGCACUCAUUGACUUAACCAUCUGGCGACGAAAUCGUCGCACACGCCGAACAAUGGUUCAAGCCUCUGGGUGGUGAACUCUGCGCACACACCCCCUUUCCUCCCUUGGUAUCAAUCUCAGCGGCGAAAUCGUCGCACACGCCCUAGCCUUGAUACCAAGGUCAUCACAGGUCUUGGGAUUUCGGAAUCCAUUUCCACAACUUAAGGGUUUACUCACUUACCCUAUGGCGACGACAUUCCUAGGCCUAACUCAAUUUUUUUCCUAGUGGUCCUUCUACCACUAUAACCCAUAACCACUAUGCAUCAUAACCUAGGUUCACUCACACUAGGUUCUAUGUCAAUUCACCUAGAUCUUGACUCUAGGUUUACUUGCUUGACCUAUGUCCAAUGACACUAGGUUCAUGUCCGACCUAUGUUUAUACACUAGGUUCAUGCCACUCGAUCUAUAUAAUGUCCAACCUAUGUUUAAUACACUAGGUUCAUGCCACUCGAUCUAUAUGUCAUCCUAGGUAUCCUUGCCUAGGUUCAUAGUUUACAUACUCUCAUUUACCUUGUCACAAUCGAGGUUUCUAAUCAACUAGAAUUAUCGACAUUCAUAUAGCUUGAACUAUAAUACAUUUAUAUGUAUCUAGCAUUCAUAUUCAUAUGAUAACCAUCAUAGAUCAUCUAGCAUUAACCAUCAUAUGUCAACGAUCAUAAUAUGUCAACAAUCAUAUAUGCCUACUCAUAUGCAUCUAGCAUUUAUGUUCACAUAUCAACAAUCAUAUUCAUAUAUGCGUCAAAUGAAACCACGCUUUACUUUGGCAUGGAAGCGACCUAAUCGCUUCGGUAAAGCACAACCCACAUUUACUUUAUACCGGAACGUGAGAAAUUCACUUCCCACACUUUUCCAAGAAUCGUGAUCCGCGCUCGCGACAAUUGAAGCCAAAAUGGGGUUUUCCUCGCUAGCUUGCCGUAGGCUCGUCGGAAUGUCGAACCGAGCUUUCCAACGCAUUCGCUUUAUCCUCAAUUAGAUUUAUACGCGAUCAAUUCCAAACGAGACUUCCAAAUCUACAAAAGUGCAUUAUCGAGGUUAGGUUCCAAUGAACCUAUCACUAUUCAAACCUUUAUGCAGGUUCUACAAGAACCUAUAUAGCAACUAAGAACUCCAACUAAUUACCUUAGGCAUACUAGAGGUCAACUCUUUUAGGAUUAAUCCAUCUCAAUUUCUUAUCUCCAACCAUCACUCAUAAAUACAUACAUGCAUACGCACACACAUAUGCUACCAGCAUAGUUGGGAAUUCAGCUUUAGUAAGCUGAAUUCAGCUUACUCACAUAUAGUACCUAUAGCUUUUAUAGGAUUCUAUGUCAAAUUCAGCAACUCAAGCUAAAUCUCUUCAUAAAGUAGCUACCAUAGGCUUCAACCAAAUACUCAAAAAUAUAAGGAAUUAACUCCCUGUACAAACAUCACACAUAGCAGCCCAAAUGGAUACAUGCUGCUAGCUUAAUUCUCAAAGCCUUUGUCUAUAUUUUCAUAAUAAGCAUGCUUCACUAAGCAAGAAAUCCAAACCACGUUCAUUUUAGGGUGAAUAGAACCAGCCCUAACACAAAACACAACUAAUCUUGUUAUAGAGAUAUAGCAAUCUCACCUCGGACUCGCUCUCCAACAAGAUUUCCCAUUGCCGCAGCUUCUUCUCAACUCCAACAGCACCCUCACCACUUCUCCUUCCACCACCCACUCCACUUGGGUUGAGGGAGAGAGGAAAAGAAAAACCAAAAGGAGGAGAAGAACAAAAGAAACGAGAAAAGAGAAGGAAGAGUCCCUGUUCUUGAUCUUCUUCACAGCCACAACCAAACUCCACCUUUUUUUUUCUCCUUCAAUCCCCCCUACAUGCGGUUUUAGAGAGAGAGAGGGAAAGGAAAUGAAA
RNAcentral lists this long non-coding RNA (2531 nucleotides) under Ananas comosus (pineapple). Its description in RNAcentral is "long non-coding RNA (ACOM_LNC044384)". The record is from RNAcentral. Lineage: Eukaryota; Viridiplantae; Streptophyta; Magnoliopsida; Poales; Bromeliaceae.